This is a non-coding RNA of Musa acuminata subsp. malaccensis (wild Malaysian banana), 1913 nucleotides long. Lineage: Eukaryota; Viridiplantae; Streptophyta; Magnoliopsida; Zingiberales; Musaceae. The record is from RefSeq and is a predicted model, not a curated record.
UUUAUCCUUUUCCCCUCCUUUUCUUCCCUCAGAGAGGGAGAGGGGGGUUAGCUUUUUAGGCAUCUGGUGUGUCUCUCUCUAUCGAUCCCCACAGGUAAGAAGACAAAAAAAAGGGAUGGAAAAGAAAAGCAUGAGGAGUUCAUGUCAUCCAGGGUGGAGCUUUUAAGUCACUGGAGAUGGGAAGAGAUAGUGGGAGCACCUUUCAAGGGAUCUGAUUGACUUGAGUUGAACCUUGAGGUUAUGAGUCAGGUCAAGUUGACUGUUAGGAAGCAGUGAGAAACAGACUCAUGUAACCAAUAGAAGAGGAUCAUUGGAACUUCCACAUAAAUAGCAUGGUUUGGGAAAUAUCAGAUAACAAAGCAAAAUUAUCCAUCAUUAUCAACUGAAAUGACCAUUUGCAGGCUAGACAUGUGUUUAUGCAACAAAAGAGAAAAAGGAUGAGAUCUCUUCAUGUUUGGUCAGCUGCAAAUUUUCUUUUCGAGACACAGUGACAAGAAUUUUCUCACUAGUCAUGUGAAAAAAGAUUUGAUGAGCAAUUUUAUGUUACUGCACCAUACACCAAAGUACAAAUACCACUGUUGGAUGGGGUGAUGUUGUCAUGUGAAACUGGAAUACAUUUUACUCUGGGAGAAAUAAACAUUUUCACAUUUGCAGUAUCUCUAGGAGUACACAGAAAAUUGAGCUUUGCUUGACAUUCUAUCAGCAAUUAGUUAUACCACUCAGUUCUCCUCAUGAUCCAACAUUGCAAAAUUCUUUAGAUUGAGAAGCCAGGAGCAAGCUUGAGUCUUGAAUCAGCACUAGCUUCACUUUUCUGAAAGAUUGACACCUCUUGUGAUUGCUUUCCAAAUAUCUGAAGGUUGUGGACUACAACAAGAAGCCAAUGAAGGAUAAACAACUCAACCGAUAUCUUUUGUUUGACAAAUCUAGUAGGUUUUGGCCACAAAGUCAGGUGAUAUUUCAUCCUUCCAUGUGCUCCCAAAACUUUUACAGACGGAAAUAAUCAAACGAUUGGGACAGUGCAGAUGAUACUAUCAGCAAACUGCAGAUCACAUACUCCCUCAUCAUGAACAACCAUUGAAAGCUGCUUAUAUAAUAUCUGCAUAUGCACACUACACAUGAGCGGCAACUUAGUCUAAUAACUAUUCCGACUCGACCAAUGUCGUUCUUGAGGGGUUCAACACCCAGUCCUACUGUUGGAAUCAGCUCUAUGUACUUCUAAGUAUUUGAUCUCGGAAGGAUUCCAGCAAUAUGUGAUAUAAGUGAAGGAACCUGGGAAGCCUAAGCAUCCUGUUCAUUCCAAUGCAAAGAUCCCCAUCAUCUCCCAAGUACCCAAGAUUGACUCAGCUGCAUGUACCAAAGCUUUGUUUGGAAGCCACACAGCACAAUUAGAGGUGAUCAUGUAAGGCAUCUGCUAUGAGCCUCUCGAUGUCAUCCUACAAAAAUCCUCAAAACUGUUGAAACAUUAAGAUAGUCGGCUGUUAAGGGACCAAACAUGGAGCUUAUCAUUGUCCUCGGAAGAGUAUGUGAUGUAUGAUGCCCUUUCAUCAUUGUCGUCCUUGAAGAUUGUCAAAUCCCCACUCACAACCAUGCAGCCAUGUUAUAGAAGUUUGUGAAAGGUCUUGUGGGGGAGUCACUGAGCGAAACUCCAACUGGGCUUUGGUGGUUAAAGCUAAUCAGCAACGUCUAUGAGCAUCAACAUGACAAGUAAUCAGACUUGCCAUCGUAGAUCACUUCAGGAUAUGUUCAAGGAUGUUGUUAGACUUGUGAAGAUCAUGGGUGAUUUAAUUUCAUCUACUGUGAGCACAAUCCCUUCACUCACCUAUUCCUACAAGCCUUUUAAAAAAUAGCAACCGACUCUAUUAAACAUCACCUGGAGAAAAGUAUAUAAAUCAAUUAAGUUGAACUUUUCCAUA